UAGUGUCUGUGAAGGCAACAAAGAAUGUGACGCAGACGUUUUGGCCUGGCUGAGCAGUGCAUAUUUUACAGUUUUGCGUCAUAUUAAGCUUACUUUGUCGAACGCUUUCAAAUAUUAGAUAAUUUUAACAUUGUGAGUAGCUUUAUUAGGGUGCCCAUGUAACAAGAUAAUACCAAGACUGACUGCGCAUGCGUACUGUAUAAGCGGAAACCGUAUGUGCGCCAGGCGGAUGCUGUAACGUUCUUUCUGCUCCCGGACUGCCAUCAUGGUGUUCAAACGCUUCGUUGAGAUCGGCCGUGUUGCCUACAUCUCUUUCGGACCCCAUGCUGGCAAGCUGGUGGCCAUCGUAGACGUCAUCGAC
Long non-coding RNA from Etheostoma spectabile (orangethroat darter), 361 nucleotides. RefSeq lists it as uncharacterized. Lineage: Eukaryota; Metazoa; Chordata; Actinopteri; Perciformes; Percidae. The transcript has 2 exons. The record is from RefSeq and is a predicted model, not a curated record.